CGUCGGUCUGAGGAGGGGCCGCUUCGCCAUGUCGCCCCGCACCUGCUGAGCCCGGAGCGUCCGAGGAUGUCCGCGCUGAGGAAGGCUUUCUCGCCAUCCGAGGCUUGGCCCUAGCCCUGCGCGGCUUCCCUCGCGGCUGCGAACCCUCUGCCUGCGCCCAGCCCAGCCACAAUGGGGACUGCUCAG
Molecule: unclassified non-coding RNA, 186 nt
Filed under: Homo sapiens (human)
Lineage: Eukaryota; Metazoa; Chordata; Mammalia; Primates; Hominidae
Description: DLG associated protein 2 (ENSG00000282103.1)
Source: RNAcentral